AAGUCGUAACAAGGUUUCCGUAGGUGAACCUGCGGAAGGAUCAUUAUUGAAAUAAACCUGAUGGGUUGCUGCUGGUUCUCUAGGGAGCAUGUGCACACCUUGUCAUCUUUAUAUCUCCACCUGUGCACUUUUUGUAGACCUUUCAGGUCUAUGUUGCUUCAUUUACCCCAAUGUAUGUUAAUAGAAUGUUGUGCCUAUAUAAUAUAUACAACUUUCAGCAACGGAUCUCUUGGCUCUCGCAUCGAUGAAGAACGCAGCGAAAUGCGAUAAGUAAUGUGAAUUGCAGAAUUCAGUGAAUCAUCGAAUCUUUGAACGCACCUUGCGCUCCUUGGUAUUCCGAGGAGCAUGCCUGUUUGAGUGUCAUUAAUAUAUCAACCUUCUCUUUUUUGAGUUGUUUGGAUGUGGGGGUUUGCUGGCCUCUUAAAUGAUUCAGCUCCCCUGAAAUGCAUUAGCAGAACAACCUGUUCAUUGGCGUGAUAAUUAUCUAUGCUAUUGAAUGUGAAGGGCAGUUCAGCUUUCUAACCGUCCUCGGACAAUUCAUC
Molecule: ribosomal RNA, 542 nt
Filed under: uncultured Cortinarius
Lineage: Eukaryota; Fungi; Basidiomycota; Agaricomycetes; Agaricales; Cortinariaceae
Description: eukaryotic LSU rRNA
Rfam family: 5.8S ribosomal RNA (bases 210-363)
Source: RNAcentral